RNAcentral lists this ribosomal RNA (253 nucleotides) under uncultured bacterium. RNAcentral describes it as "partial 16S ribosomal RNA". It matches the Rfam family "Bacterial small subunit ribosomal RNA", at positions 524 to 776 of the family's 1533-position model. The record is from RNAcentral.
UACGUAGGCAGCAAGCGUUGUUCGGAAUUACUGGGCGUAAAGGGCGCGUAGGCGGCGCACCAAGUCAGGCGUGAAAGCCCUGGGCUCAACCCGGGAAUUGCGCUUGAGACUGGUGUGCUUGAGUACGGGAGAGGAUAGUGGAAUUCCCAGUGUAGAGGUGAAAUUCGUAGAUAUUGGGAAGAACACCGGUGGCGAAGGCGGCUAUCUGGACCGUAACUGACGCUGAGGCGCGAAAGCGUGGGGAGCAAACAGG